This 250-nucleotide ribosomal RNA is filed under the name uncultured bacterium. Its description in RNAcentral is "partial 16S ribosomal RNA". It matches the Rfam family "Bacterial small subunit ribosomal RNA", at positions 524 to 772 of the family's 1533-position model. The record is from RNAcentral.
UACGGGGGGAGCAAGCGUUGUUCAGAUUUACUGGGCGUAAAGGGCGCGUAGGCGGCACCGCAAGUCGACUGUGAAAUCUCCGGGCUUAACCCGGAAAGGUCAGCCGAUACUGCGGGGCUAGAGUGCAGAAGGGGCAACUGGGAAUUCUCGGUGUAGCGGUGAAAUGCGUAGAUAUCGAGAGGAACACCUGCGGCGAAGGCGGGUUGCUGGGCUGACACUGACGCUGAUGCGCGAAAGCUAGGGGAGCGAA